This 584-nucleotide unclassified non-coding RNA is filed under the name Leishmania donovani. Its description in RNAcentral is "gene:unknown". The record is from RNAcentral. Lineage: Eukaryota; Euglenozoa; Kinetoplastea; Trypanosomatida; Trypanosomatidae.
GAGGGUGUGGAGCGCUGGCACAGAUCUUCAGACUGAUAUCUUCCCCUAACGUAUAAUUUGCCAUCCACAAGGGCCCACAUCCUCUGGCCAGCCUUCGACGCGCGACACGUGGACGCAGACUUGCGCACUGCAGUCUAUCCUCGCCCUCUUUGUGUGGCAGCCGCGGAGCCGCCCUUAUCUUCUUCCUUCCUUUGUCGGCACUCAUCGUAAGACGCGCUUGCGUGAGUCUCGUUUCCACGGCAUCUCUUAAAAGGCGCCUCGAUUUCUUGCGUGCAUUGGCGUUCUCUAACCCCUGCCAACGCUGUCACCGCGUCUGUGGCGCCCAUGCACACCCACGCAACCCCAGCGCCUCCUUGUCUUCCUCUUGCACGCCUUCGUCGGCUCUUCAUUUGUGUUGUUGCUCGCCCGUCUCGCGUUGCACUGGUGUUCCUUCAAAGGACCUCCUGAGUUGCCCCUCUUCGUAGGACACCCCCGUCACUCGCGCGUGCAGUCGCCGGCGCUGGGGUGCAGCGACAUCUUUGCUAGGCUCUGUCUCACAUCACCAUACUCGCUCUGCCGCUCUCUCCCCCGCCGCUUCCAUCUAG